AUUCAUUGGUACUGACCCUCGAAGUUCGCGUGUAAGGUGCCGAACUUCUGUAAUUAUGAUGUUGCGGUGGAAUGUAAUAUACCGGAUUUUAAUAUAAAAGUGAAAAUAAAUAAAAAUAGUAUGAGAUAUUAUUUUUAUUGGAUUUAGAGAAGUGAAAUAUAGGUUGGAAAUGACCUGUGCUGAAAUCGGAGCGAAAACAGAAGAUUUAGAAUUUUCUGCGAGAAAUGGGACAGAUAAAUUAGCAGAAAAUGCACAGUGUCGAAAAAUUAUGAAAACUGGAGAAUAUGUCAGAAUCAUUUUUAUGACGCUAGACUUAAAGUUUCAUGCCAUUCUGAUACCCGGAAAGUGGAAAAUAAAAUCCGACAGCUAUCUGAUAGAGAUUACAGUUCGGUACAGCUUUCGGUGAUCAAACGGGGUCGAAAGUGAAAGAUUAAAAUUUUUUUGUACUUAUUAAGUAAAAUCAAGCCUGUCUGUCAAAUUUGAGCUCAAACGGACAUUCGGGAAGGCUCCGGGAAAAAAUGUCAGUUUUAAACUGCCCGAUGUGAAUAGUGUAUAGUUGAGGGGCUAAAUUAUAAAAAGGGAUUUAAUCCUUCUCCUCCCUCAACCGUGCACCACAACGCCACACACUCACACAUGCACGCAUGCAUGGAGGGAGAGAGAAACCUCUCUUUCUCUCUCUAAAUCUCUCCCAAAAUUGGUGGCUUUGGGGGAGAUUGAAGCUUGGAAGUGAAUCGUCUUCAUCUUCUUCAUCUUCUCCAUGGUUUGGAGCAAGCUUUGAGGUGAGCUUCUUGAGCCCUCUGAUGGUAGAUCUCUAGAAUUAGCUUUGUAUGUUCUAGAGAUGGAUUUAGUAGAAUGCUUAGAUACUAAUUAGAGGUUUAUUGCUUGAUUCAUGAAGUUAAAUAAUGGAUUUAGUUGUAAUGGCAUAUAGGGCUUCAAAAUUGGGGUUUUGUAAAAUAUAAGGAUUUGAUCUAAUUUGACCCUCCGUAAACCUAAUUGUUAGGUAAACGAACGCGUUGGCGAAGUGGGUUCGGCGAUUCGUCGAGCCAUUGUGAAGAUAUUAAAGAAAUGGACGUUUAGGCUUCGUUUCCGCCUGGAGGGCCGAGGCGACAUCGUAAAAUCAUGAAAACGGAUUUGGAGUACCGUAGCACAUAACCGAAGACCUUUAAUUUCUGAAUCGUGGAUCGGAGGCCAUUCGGGUGGUCGCGCGGGAGUUCGGGCCAAACCGGGUUACGGGCGCCGCGGGAGGUCGAUUGCAAGUGGCUAUGAGCAAUCGGAACGCGAUAACAGGUGGGUUGUGUUUACCGAAGCGACUAGGUCGCCUACAUGUCAAAGAGAAAUGUGCUUCUCGUUGAUGCACAUACAGGUGUGAUGGUAGUUGAUUGCAUAGGUGAAUGCUUAGGGAUAAUGCAUGAGAUACUAUGUGAUAGCUGCCUAAGAUGAAUAAAAUUGCAUGUUAGCAUGAUUAGAAUAUGUGCAUAAUGGCAUCAUGAAUGAGUUAAAGCAUAUAAAUAGAAUAUGCAUGAUGAUGUUGUAGAUGUGGUAGAGCAUAUGAAUAGAUUGCAUGCUAGUUGAUAAUGGCAUAACGAAGCAUUGGAGUAUGUAUGCUAGUGGAUAAUCGCAUAUAGAUGCCUUGAGAAAUACAUGCUAGAUGAUAAUGGCAUAUUAGCAUUAUGAAGGUGUAUACUAGAUGUAAGAUGCAUGUUGGCUUUAUUGAACAUAUAUGCUAGAUGAAAAUGAAUGUUAACAUAUUGUUAAUUAUGGAGAUUUUGAGGUAUGUGGACAUAUUGCUAGAUUAUACAAAUAGGCAUGUGGCAUGUAAACCUAGUAUUGUGAACCUAUGAUAGAUCGAGUGGCAUUAACCUAGUGUUAUGAAUAUAGGUUGAACAAGUGAACCUAGAAUCAAGAUCUAGGUAGAGUGGCAUCGAACCUAGUGUUAGUAAACAUAGGUCGAAUAUGAACAUAGUGUCGUCAAACAUAAGUUGACAUCAAACCUAGUGUUGUGAAACCUAGAGUUAACUAAACCUAGGUGAGUGGCAUUCGAACAUAGUGUAAAGAAACACAUUGAGACACUUAACGUGGAACUAGGGAUAGGUGGAUUUCCGAGUGUUUAUUAACCAUAGUGGACAGGGUAUCCUCGGUUGGUGAGGAUUGGAUCAUACUCACAUAGUCUGUUUUGGGCUUGUGGCGGUCACUCCACACAAGCAGUGCACUUCGGAGUUGUCACACGAGCUGGGUAGCUCACGAGAGGGGUAGCUCACUGGGUGGGAUACGAGCGGGGUAGCUCCUCACCCAUUGGACUGGGAAGUGAGUCAGGCGAAGGGCGGGGUAGCUCUUCACUUGUGAGAUUUGUGCGGGGUAGCUCUUUACCUAUGAGUGGGGUAGCUCUUGACUGAUGAGAUUGAGGUUAGAGUCGAGGCGAAGAGCGGGGUAGCUCUUGCCCUUAGGCAUUUGAGUUAUGAGUUGGGCGAGGAGCGGGGUAGCUCUUCACCUAUAGGACUUUAGAUAUGAGUCGGGGCAAAGAGCGGGGUAGCUCUUCACCUACUAGAGAUGUGAGUGAAUAUCUAUGGCAUUCGAGAUAUGUGUUGGGUGAGGCAAGAGCGGGGUAGCUCUUCACCUAUGUGAUAAGAGAUCUUAGGCAGGUUAGCCUAGUGGAUUGGGUAAUGACAUGAAUAACAUAGUGGAAUGGCAUUCAUACCAUGAUUGGGACAUAGUAUAUGUUUAGUGGAUUUAAGGCCGAGGAGUAUGUGAGGGUUCCUUCACCUCGAGCCGGAUAGAGUGCGGUACUCCGCAGUUGAUUGACUCGGGGCAGAGUUGGGUGGCUAGCUUGAAUAAGGUAGAUGGAACCUUAAGGCUAGUGAUAGAUGAAAUGGAUCUAGGGUAAUAGAAACCUUAGAGAGUAGUUGGAUGUGAUAGAAAGUAGUAUCGGGUGAUCUACUAGUUUUUGCAUUACUUGCAUGGUUGCAUAGCAUGACAUUAUUGCAUUCGCGAGGCAAAAGCAUGACAUAUGUUAGUCGCAUAUUUUUGAUAUCAUAUCUAUCUGUUUAUUAAUCUAACCUGCAGUUUGCCUCCUUUGAACCUGUUGGUUGAGCUUUUUCCUUGGGUGGCCGUACCCACUGGAAAUCAUGGAGUUGGUUCUCACCCCACGUUGCUUUGGGGUGUUAUAGGUUCGCACGUGAGCGACGCGACGGCGCGAGGAAAGGGCGUAGCUCUGUAGAUAGCGCCCUACCUCAGAGACCAGAGCUAGCAGUACCCCGUCGACAUAGCUUAGGGGUAUAGGAAAUGAAUAGAACACAAUGUAUCAAAAAUGUAUUAAAGAUAUAAAUGAUGUAAUAACAUAGAUUGCAUUUGGAUGGAAAACAAGUUGUAUUUGAGUUGUAAAAAUGUAAGCUGGUGAAUGCAUGUAAUAACUUAGGAUGUGUUUAUGUUGUUUGAUACCUUCCUUUGCAAUCAGUGUAUGAAUACUGUUCCUGUUUGGAACCCCUUAUAUUAUACUGUUUGUUGAGCCUUGAACGUUCAGGGGAGACUCUGUCCGAGGUACAGGGGAAUCCCCGGUUCGUUCGGCGCUGUCUGCGACCCGACCCGGCCAAAUAGGUAGAGGGUCACAGGGCGUGACAUCGCGCCCUUCGAUUGAUCAAGCGAUUCGGCUGAUGAGGGAUCGGAUCAGCCGGAUUCAAAGCCUCUACAGUAAAUUCGGUUUGGCUGGAAGAGCCAAAUGUACGGACCAAGCAAAAACUGAAGUCAGCCGAUGAGCCGAAUAGCUAAAGAACACAGGAAUUGACCGGCUUGAAAAGCCGAAUGCCUUUAUAUUCACUGAUAAGAAGUACAGGGGUCGAGUGUGCCGGAUGGCAUGCAGACUCGGUUGAUCUAUUUAAAACUACUCCUAGGAAGAACAGUAAAUACGGGAAAGAGAAAUUACAAGUAGACUACUCCUAGAAAAUGCAAGAAAUUGCGAGGAAAAUAAGGGCGGUCUUUUGUUCAUAGAAAAAAAGACCCAUUUUUAGGGCGUUAUUGACCUAUUUAUAGAUCGCCCCUUGUGAUCAGUUAUUAUCUGUGCAUGAUCAGCCACUACUCCUGAUUCUCCGGACCAUUUUCAGCCCACUUUCAGCCGAUCAGAACCGUUUGCAACUGCUUACGGUUACUGUAACCUCCCUUAAUUAGCGCAACAGUUUCUCUUCCGGUGCUCCUGGUGUACGGCAAGAUUGAUGCUUUUGAAAGGAAUACCGGCGUACCAUCUGUCCGCGCCUAAUUUCCUCAACAAUUGCCCCCUCGGCAACUUUCGAAGUAACGCUUCGGUAGCUGGCGUAAUCUGAGGCGCGAUUACUUUUCAAACUCUUGGUACGGUUUCGUCUCAACCGUCCACUUUUUUCUACUGCCGAAAUCCUGCCAUCGCUUCAAUAACAAGCGCGAUCCGAGGCGUGGUUCUCGGUCCAAUCAAAUUCAAAUUCUCUGUACGAGUAGCUGACGUAAUCCGAGGCGUGAUCCUCCGUACGGUUCAAUCUUGGCUGUCCAUUUUCUUUUUUACGGCUCUGAUCUCGCCCUCUAUUUUUGUCUUAUAUGUGGCAUUAAUUAGGUCAUCUUAAUUACCGCCAUCUAUUCAUCAUUAUAGCCAUCUUCGGAACUCGCUUUGAUGCGACGAUUCGAUGCGACGACAACCUUUUCUUCUUAGCCAAGCUUCUCAUUCCUUUUUGUACUCAAACCUCAUCUUCGUCGCUUCUUUUACUUCUCUUCGUCUUCUUUGCUAUGUCUAUACUCCAGCUUGGCCCAUUAUUUUCUUCCUGAUACUUUAGAUUUUCCUUCAAUCUUUCGGCAAUGGCGCCGCUUCCGCCUCUGCCUUCCUUUCCAACACUGGAUUAUACCAUACUUAAACCAUAUCUCUCUUUAGACCCCACUAGAUUAAUCUUGGGUCCCUCCUUUACUGAAGACCCAGCUCCUGAUGAUUUCCCUUACUCCAGUGAUGGUCUUCCAUUAAUGGCUAAAUCCAUUCAUCUCCACUCCUGGUAUUCCUCGGCUUCGACAGGAAAAAGUCUUCGAACUUGGCCGAGUGUUUCAGAUGCUUACUUGGCUUGGUUGGAUCGAGUGGAGGCUGUUUAUGGUGAUUCUUGGAAGGAGAUCGGGAUUUAUGAAGCUAUUAGGCUACCUAGGAAGCCUCCUGUAGCCGACAACCUUCUGUUAGCUUCUGCUCUCUAUUUUUGGUCCCCUGUUUUCAACGUUUUUCUUUUCAGAGGAGGACCUCUUACUCUAACUCUUUUUGACAUAGCCGCUAUCGUUGGACUGUGUCCUCAUGGAGUUACCAUCUCUAUAGCUUAUAAUCCUGAUGGCGUGUCUGACUUUGAGGCUCAUCUCGACCUCAAUGACUUGGCCUAUUCUAAGUUCCUCUGUAAGUUUGCAGGCGAAUCCCCUGCUCCUGUCACUAGGAAAGAACAUACAGCGUUCCUCCUACAUUGGUAUGCCACAAUCUCUUCUGCACUCGUUUGCAGAAAAUCAAUCGGGACUUUGUCCCAAUUGCCGUUGGUUUAUCUAACGGCGAUAGAUUAGCUCUAUAGCCUUAUUUUCUUACCUUCGUCUAUAGGAAAAUCUUUGAUUCCAUUAAACCACUACCCUCUGGAGAUGGUGUAACAAUCAGCUCGGGUUGUGGUGUUUUUUCGUUUUUGCAAAUAUUUCUGCAAAUUUAUUUUCAUAAAUUGUGCCGAGAACCUCUAGAUCUAAACUCGGCUGCUCAUUUUGACUCUUAUGGGCUUGCUCUCGGCUGUCCUCAGCCGUUAACAUCAGGCCAUCCUCUUGAUUUUAUCACCUAUUUUAAAAUUUUUUAUGAAUCGGGUCCUCAUUUCCUCAUUUCUUGGUCUCCUUUUGCUGAUUACGUCACCGGCCCACCUUGGUUUUUAGCUAGGUACGAGGCCAUUCAAGGUGAACUUGCUUCUUCUCGUGCCGACGAAUAUUCAGAUGUCUAGUACUCUUUUUUGGCUACAAGGGAUUUACACAUUGGUUUGAAAUCGCGCUCAAAAUUACUGCCCAGUACUGAGGUUUACUCCCCCCAGUUCGCAGUGCGUCAAUUUGGAUUUACGCAAGCAAUCCCUGCUCCAGCCAAGUUCUUCAUGGCCAAUACUGCCGUUCAUCGUCCUCCUACCAAAAGUAUAGCCGAUGCUAAUCGAAUUUUGGCCAUGGGGAAUCGUCUUCGGCGAUUUUUCAAAUUAUUAAGCUUUAGGCCAAAUUAUACAGGAGUAGUAGGUUUCCGCUAUACCGUUACUUGGGAUAGUUUUGUCAAUAGCACCUUCAAUUUUCCUACCUCGCAGGCACACCGCAAAACUAUUCACCCAAUCAGUAAAUCUCUUACUUAUGGCUGAUUUUCUAUUCCACAUAAUUUCUGCUUAUCUAUUUUCCAUUUACAGUGUCCUAUCCAAGCAAAAGUCUUUCGGACGACACCGCUGCCCUAUCUGUAUCAAAAAAAGUCGGUUUGACGAUUCGUUGAGUUUGUGUGGAGUUCUUGGCAAAAGGGGCGGUCGUAGCCUUCGUUCCUACUCGGAGAGCCGAAGCGACGUUCUAAGAGAUUGCCGAGUUCCGUUCCUCGAGUUGUAGCAUCGCCAAAAGGUGGGUGGUGCCAUCUCGAAGCAGUUGAACUGCUCCCUAUGUCUAAGUCUCAUUGUUGAUCUCAUGAGCAUCUUGCCAUAUUGCAUUAUAGGGUAUAUAAUAUGUUGUUGUGUAUUCUUGCAUGCUAGUGGUAGUGUAGAGUCGCUUACUUGACACUUGGACCUAGUAUGUGUGACAUGAUGACUUGGAACCCUAUAAUGAGAAGAUAAAUGAUGAAUGUGCCUUAUGUGGAUGAAAACCUAGUAAAGUGUAAACUAGUGUAUUGGAAACAUGUAAUGAGAACGAGUGGCAUCUAGUUAAUGUUGAACACAAGAAUGAGUGGCAUGAAAACCUUAGUGUAGCUAAAACACUAUGAGAUUGAGUACAGGAACACAUUGAUUCCAUGAUCACGAUAACCCUAGUUGGCAGGGUAUCCUCAGUUGACGAGGAUUGGAUCGACUCACAUAGCCUGUCUGCGCUUAUAGUGGUCGCUCCACACAAGCUAUGCACUCCGGAGUUUUGGUCACUAGAGGGGCAGUCGUGAGCUGCCUGGACAGUAGCCAGCUGUCCGCAGGCGGUCUCGGGGGUAGUCGAGUGAUCAAAAUCUCCUCCCCUAUGAAACUUCAAGACGUGAGAUGGUGGCGAACCUUCGGGUUAGUCGAUUGAUUGGGUAAUCUAAUGAAUUACAUCAUUAUUGAGCAUGAUAGCUUGGUAGUAGCCUUUACUUAUGUUGCAUGCAUGAUUAUAGAUUGAGGCAUGGUAGAUUACUUUCAUAUCUCCUUAUUGUUAUCGCUUUUAAGUUUAUCUAUCUAUCUGUUUAUCUAUCUAUGCCUGCUUAGACCUAGUGGGGAGAUCGGCGGAGUGGGCGGCCGAACCCACUGGGAACUAUGGACAAUAGUUCUCACCCUACUUUGUUGCAGGGCCGAGCUCGAGUACACCCGGCGAGGAUCACGGUAAGGGCUUAGCGCCCUAGAGGUUGUAGAUGCUUCCUAUUGCAUUAGUAGUCACCCUUUGUACUUGAGAGUAGAUGAUGUAUAGGGUGAGAUGAUGUGAAGAAUUGUAAACCUUAUGUUUAUGUUUUGGAAGUUUAAAUGUAAUCAAAUGUAUUAAAGUUGCAUGAAUGUAAUAGUUAAGUAUCUCUCUUUUAUUCACUUGUUUAUUACUCGUGACGCUUGCUCUUGAUUGUUGUGCUCCCGCUGUUGUUGUAUGAUCGUGUAUGUAUUCAAGUGAUUUCCUGAGAACUUGUUGUACAUGAUCUCGUUGUCUAGUCUUGGGCGGACAGGGGAGGUCCUGUCCAUUCGGCGUCUGUUCGACGCGUCGGAACCGGACCAAAUUGGUAGCGGGUCUCGGGGCGUGACAGAGAGAGCUAGGGUUGAGGGAAAGUGAGAAAGAAAGAGAGCCAUCCCCUUUCUUUACCUCCCACUCAUGUAACAAGUGCAAAUAAUCCCCUCAACUUUUAGCUUCACCAACAGCCCAAAAUAGGCAUUUUCGGCUACGGGGACCGGUCCUUGGAGUCAGGGACCGGACCCCCAUGGUCCAGAAUUUUCAGUUUUCGUUGAUUUUGCUCCGUUUUGCUCCGUUUUCGCCCGUUAGGCCUCCGAUUCAUUUCAAAUCGAACCGACUCCAAACACGUUUUCGAGCGUAUUUAAAUCAUCUUUUUACCCAUGCUAAUGCCGGAUUUAGUUCACAGCCCAACAUAGCCUUUCGGGUCCCAUUUUCGUGCCUACGCGCACCGAAACGUCCAAAUGCUUCCGGACUUCACCGGAACUUUACCGGAACAAUUCAAAUGGCUUUCCAAACCAAUACACACCAUAACUUCAUAAUUUUAGAAGUCCGGUACCUUACAUCCUCCCCUCCUAAAAAAAAGUUCGUCCUCGAAACUAACUCACAUCAACCCUAAUUUACAGCUCAACUCAACUUAUCGAGCAACAUAGGGUUCCAAUGCACUUUUAUACUCCGGAGUGGCCUUUCACUCAUUGGAAUCAUUCAAAGGUCCACUACGGAGGAUGUGAGACCAAGUUCACUCACAUUGGCUAAACGCAACUCCAAAAGUGCAUUGCAAUCUCCGCAAGUCUCGGUGGUAGCGUAAGUCGACACUUGAUGACUCUUCACGCUCCAACACCGCUCGCUAACCAGCGCACCAAGGUCAUACCAUUUCCUUCGAGACCAGGACUACCCGUCGUCCUCGUGGCGUGGAUCUAACAAAAUGCACCGACUAGUCGUAUCUUCCACCACCACGACACAACACACCCGAGAAGCCCUCUCGAAUCACUCAAGUGUUCACAAGUUGACACUCCAUCACUCGAUCAUACAAGAGUCUAUACUAUCAGGUACGACUCUUCCUCGCAUCAACUUCUCCCCUUGGGAACGCACCCUGCUUCGAUCACCGACAUUGCCUAAAAGCAAUAUCGUGGUGCAUCGGCUAAUCGCGAAUGUCCCAAUCACAAUCGGAUUUCCGCUCUAUUAUGAGAUGGCACACUCCAGCACAUCUCCAAUUCCUAUCCACAAAAGAGCAUUAUCCUCAAGCUUUAACUCACUCAAGAGCAUCAACUCCAAUCCUCACGUGGCAAUCCAUUAUUCAUGUGUCUCCUAGAGACCACUCUACUUUCUCUUUAUCCGUUGACAUCCUAAGCCACGGCCAUCUCGACUUCGCUCUCACAACGAAUUAACACGAAUACCCGUUCGUGAAUCCCGGCCAAAUUCCUCGACAGAGUUAUCGGCCAAACCGACUACCGCGGGUUCCACAGGUGACCAAUGGUCUCAAAUCCUACGUAACCCUAUAACCUAAACCUAUCUCAACACACGUUUCAUCUUUCGCUCGCAAGCGCAGACCCAAUUAGCAUUAGACGAAAUCCUCAUUGGAGAAUUCGCACACACUCCAACCAGGAGCAACCACGACCCCAAACCACAUCAAGUCCCCGGGUUGGGUCAUAACCACACUCUCUGUAUCCUCGAUCACAUGAUCUAACAUGUGGCAUUCCACGUUCCCGGGUCUAAGCUCGGACUACCGCCCCGACAAAAACUCUGCCCUACCUCAGGCCGCUGUCACCCACAGCUGAUUGCACCUGUCCAUAAGGACCUAGGCUCCACAGUCCACGAGUGGUCCAGGCACGGAUCGUCCCCAAGCAAUACCCGCAAUCGUCGUCUCACACGACACGCUCACCCGAGCAACACACGCCACUACCGGCUCCUAUGCACCCAGUGUGAGCCAUCAGCCCUACGAGUGAUCCAUGGCCCGCUUCACACUUAGCAGUGCUACAGUGCUACUGCCAUCUCACUCUCCCGGCUGAGUCAUUACCACACACCACGAGUACCUAUACUCGAGCGCUCUAUACACCGUAUACUAAGUCCAACAUUAGGCAACCCUGCCUAUGCACACCAGCCAUAAGCACGACUCACCCACCUCACUUCAAGGUACUACCAGGCCCACGUGCCCGUACCCAGCAACUAAUCGGCUACUCUCUCAACAGUAACUCUACUUUCACUGUUCGAUCUACCGGAACAAUGUUCACACACUCGGACUACUCGGGUAUCCACGAGUAUCAUAGCUCAACUCUCGCAAUCUAUUAACCACAUUGCCUUGAGAGUUGCUUCACCAUUUCCUUUCCACUACGAGUCUCACUUCCCGUCUAGAACUCACUGCUAGCAAUUCGCUAGUACCGUCUAGCUCUCUACCUGCUCCAGCAGGCGCUAUACUUUCACGCGCAAGCAUGCCUUACACCUACUCGAUCACUGGUCCAUACUAUACUAACGUGUAAAUAGCAGCAAAAGACCACAAGGUAAUUGCAUGCAAUUGCUCAAACCUAUAUCAUGCUGAAGCGUAUGAUUGCUUUAAUUAAAUCAUACCUACGGUGACAUUACGAGCAGCAGCAGGUUCCUCAACCUGGGUCACGUAUCCAUGGCCGCUUGGCGCUCUCCGCGAACCCUCCAGCUGCCCAAUCAUCACCUCUCGCUCUCCAGACCGUGCCAAAGGCUGCACAUCCACCAUCUAUCCAGAAGAUGAGAAUGCCGUCGCCAUCGGCAGGGGUUGUCUAUCACCCAAGGGGCAAUCAUAUCUCACGUGGCCAGAUUGCUCGCAAGAAAUACACCUUUCCUUUCGCAGCGCACACCGCUGCGUCCUGUGGGAUCCACCACAAAUCACACAUCCCGCAGAUAUGGCAGCAGCAGACGGAACUCCACCAUACUGCCACGGAAUCACUAGGGCGGAUGCAAUAGACGGUGCAGGCGACACUCCUUCUGGGCACUGACGGACCAUAUGCCCCGCCUGACCACACCUAAAGCAUCGUCCUGCCCUAUGCUCACAAUUCCUUACGCGAUGCUCUCCACCACAAAAUACACAUUGCUUAGGUCUCUGGCUAACGGACCUCCUUUUCCGGUACUUCGGGGGCUUCUGGGAACUAAAUUGUCCCCCCGAACUACCGCCAGGCCGUUUCUUUCCUCUGCCUCUCUUGAACGCCUAACGCUCAACGUCAGCGACAUAUCGCGACACCCCGCACGCCCAUGCUCCACACAUCCGUGCUUCGCAUGUGACCCGUACGGCACACGUGUCCUCAACGCUCCUGGCAAGGAAGCCAACAAGCCCCACACCGUGCUUCUCGACCGUCCCCACGACAUCACAUUGCCAUGGCGCACCGCGCCCUCAAUUCCCAUAGGUUCGCCACAUAAGGCCCCAUACAAACGAGCCGGCCUCACUCCGCGUUGCUACCCAUCUGACCCCUCCAUGGCUCGACCACACCUGGCCAUACACACUAAUGGUCUGGUCUCUCAAGGUUCACCAUACGGAUACUGAUACCGCUUGCCUCACUGGGUUUCGCCCCUCUCGAGUCUCCAAGACCUACGCGUCCGACGCUCCCAUUUCACCUCCCCAGCCGCCGCAUUGAGUACCAUAGAACCCGAAGCCGCCAGAGGAACACUAGCCGGCAGGGGAUGCGCCGCCGCCGGAGCUACCAAAAUGCUCACACCGUCAGGCGCAUUAGGCGUGAGAGCCGAGGGCGCGGGCGGACCAUGGCCUUCAAUUGCCGUCGCGGCCGCCGCCGCCACUUGCUGCCCCAAAAGCUCCUGGAGCCGCUCGAUCUGACUCCCCUAGCGUUGAAUCACGCCAACCAGCACAGUCAUAUGCGCCCGCAGUCCUUGCACUUCGCUUGACCCAGCUCGCUCAGGCACCUCGGGAGGUGGUGCCGGAACGGAUCUACGCGUGUAGUGUCUCUUUGGUGCCAUUAGCUCCUGAAACACAACAACUCGGUUAAUUACCUUAACUCGUUAAUCUCGUCGCAAUUAUUAGACAACGCGACUCAAAUCAGGCGAAAGUCAUACAAGGGUGCCUAUUCUCAUCACUAGGUUUCAUGUUGUAUGCAUCCAACAUGAACACCCUCGGGUGAGAAUAAACAGAACCUUGAAUCCACCUCUAACAUCCGUCUUAAAGGUUUACUAACUUGACCCAAUCGAUUCAACUUCCACCACCGUAUAGGUCCACACUCCACUCACGCACCUAUAAGCUUAGGGUUUACCGUCCUAGGGUCUUCUAGGUCCAUCCUAGACUUCUCUCUUUACUUGCUCUUAACCGCUCUGAUACCAUUUCUCUAUCACGCCUCGAGCCCGUUACCUAUUUGGUCCGGUUCGGGCGCGUCGAACAGACGCCGGACGGACAGAACCACCCAUGUUCGCCCAAGGCUCAAGCGACGAGAUCCUAUACAUCAAGUCCCCAGGAAAACAACUUGAAACAUGUACAAGAUUAAACAACCAUACGAGGGUACAAUCAGUGCUAAACAACUAAGAGCAAGUAUCACGAGUAAUGUACAAGUGAAUAAAAGAGAGAUACUAAUCUAUUACUUUCAUUCAACCUUUUUAAUACAACUUGAUUACCAUUUAGCUUCCAAAACAUGAACAUAAAGCUUACAUCUUCCAAAAUAGUCUCACAACCUAUACAUCAUCUACUCUCAAAUAUACAUAUGGAAACUCUAAUGCAAAUAGGAAGCAUCUAUCAACUAGCACUAGGGCGCUAAGCCCUUACCACGAUCCUCAGCUGGCGCACUCGUACUCGGCCCUGCAACAAAGUGGGGUGAGAACUAUUGUCCAUAGUUCCCAGUGGGUUCGGCCGCUAACUCCGCCGAUCUCCCCACUAGGUCUAAGCAGCCAUAGGUAGAUAGAUAGAUAAAUAGAUAGAUAACUUGAAAUCAAUGACAAUGAUAAGGAGAAAUGCAAGUACUCUACCAUGCCUUAAUCCAAUAUAAUGAAUGCAUGCAACUCAUAGCAAAGGCUAGCUACCAUACUACUAUGUUCAACAAUAAAGCUAUUCAUUAGAUCACCCAAUCUCUCGGCUAACCCGAAAGCUCGCUCUCAAUCUCACAUUUUUAAGUCUCAUAGGGGAGGAGUCUCACUGAACUACCCCGAGACCGCCUGCGAACAGCUAGCUACUGUCCGGGCAGCUCACGACUGCCCCUCAGGUGACCAAAACUCCGGAGUGCACAGCUUGUGUGGAGCGACCACUACAAGCGUAGACAGGCUAUGUGAGUAGGAUCCAAUCCUUGUGAACCGGAGAUACCCUACCAACUAGGGAUGGCAUCAUCAUGGAAUCAACGUACUACUAUACUCAUUGGUCUAGUGUUUCAACUACGCUAAGGAACUCAUAUGCCACUCGUCAUAGGUUUGCAUUAACUAGAUGCCACUCAUCAUCAAUUAGAUGUUCUCGAUACACUACUUGCACAUACUCACUAGGUUGUCAUUUACCUAGAUUCCAAUCCACUAUGUGCUAUCACAUAUAGGGUUAAGCUAUGUCACAUUAACCUCAUGCAUACUAGGUUCAAGUGCUACAUCCACCAAACUACAUUAACACUAGCAUGCAAGUAUGGAUACAAGUAUCUAAACACCCUAUAUGUAUCAUGUUCAUAUCACUACAUUUUGAUCUCAUGCAUACUAGGUUCAGGUGUCCAAGCCAAUAACACUAUAUUACACUAGCAUGCAAGAAUAUGUAAUAACAACUAAGCACCUUAAUUGUACACAACUACUAGGUUUUCAUUCAACUAGAGUUUAAUCCACAUUAAUCAUGUUAUUAUGGGGUUUCGCAACACUAUGUCCCAAUCUCAUGCAUACUAGGUACAAGUAUUAAGCAAAUAACACUACACUACCACUAGCAUGCUAUAACAUGUAACAAUUACCAUCUAGCACCCUAUAAUGCAAUAUCACAAUAUGCAACUUGAUAAACGAUAACUUAGACAUAGGGAGCAGUCCAACUGCUUCGAGAUGGCACCACCUACCUCUCUGGUGAUGCAACAAAGUAAAGAAUCCAAAUCUUGCGACCACAAGUCGCCGCUACGACUUCUCGGGUCAACUCUGAGCCACGAACACUUGUUUCAGCCGGAACGUCGCACCUGCUCAACGAAUCGACGAACCAUCGCCUCCCACGCGUUCAAACACCUAUCAAUUAGGUUGAUAUAUGAUCAAUUUAGAUCAAAACCCUCUAUUUGUCAAAACCCCAUUUUUGAAGCCUUAGAUGCCAUUAGUGCUAAAUACCCCAAAUCAAUCCAAGAUUUAGGUAAUAGUGAUUUCAUUAGCAUCCUAGGAUUCCAAAAAUACCACUUCUAGAGAUCAAAAUCCAUGAUCUUCCAAAAACCCAUUUUAAACCCUAGGUUUACAACUAGGCAAGAAUCCACCAUUAGAGCUUCGGAUUCAAGCUCUAAUCAUCUAUCUAGCAUAUUAGAGUUCCACUAAAUCCAUUCUUAAGAGUAUAAAACCCAAACUCUAAAGAGAUGCCAUUAAAGCCUCACAAAGCUUACCUCCAAAGCUUACCCUCAUGGUGGAGAAGAUGAUGAUAAAGAUGGUGAAUCCUCUCUUGGCUUGAAUCUGCACCAAUUCCCCUUCCUUCUUCACCUCCUAGAGAGAGAAAGAGAUCUUAGAGAGAGAAAGAGAGAGCUAGGGUUAAGGGAAAGUGAGAAAGAGAGAGAGAGCCAUCCUCUCUCUUUACCUCCCACUCAUGUAACAAGUGCAAAUAACCCCCUCAACUUUUAGCUUCACCAACAGCCCAAAAUGGGCAUUUUCGGUUACGGAGAUCGGUCCUUGGAGUCAGGGACCGGACCCCCAUGGUCCAAAAAAUUGAAAUUUUCAGCUUUCGUUGAUUUUGCUCCGUUUUCGCCCGUUAGGCCUCCGAUUCGUUUCAAAUCGAACCGAGACCUUCCAAACAUGUUUUCGAGCGUAUUUAAAUCAUCUUUUCACCGACGCUAAUGCUGGAUUUAGUUCACGGCCCAAUAUAGCCUUUCGGGUCCCGUUUCUGCGCCUACGCACACCGAAACGCCCGAAUGCUUCCGGACUUCACCGGAGCUUCACCGAAACAAUUCAAAUGGCUUUCCAAACCAAUACACACCGUAACUUCAUAAUUUUAGAAGUCCAGUACCUUACAUCGGCCUUCUUGUUGCACACCACGUUAUCGACCUGCUGGGCCGAAUUUAUCACACAGCCGACCCUGUCGAUCGGCUCCUCUUGCCGAAGCUCCUCUAAAGCUUCGGUUCCUGAUUCUUCAUGCUCCAUUUUAACCAGCUUGGUGGCUCCUCGGCUGCCACCAUAGCUCCUUCAUCUCUAGAGAGAAUCAAUUGCACUCCCUCUUCAGUAACUCUCACGAAAGAGAUUUGAUCUGGGUCAGCGUCGGCCCAAUUGAUGUGGCCGAUCUCUUCUAAAUUAACGUCCACCAUUUGGGGCCGUUCUUCGGCCUGGAUUUCUUCAACUCUGUCACCUAUCCACUGGAAUAAUUUUUCGUGGAGUGUGGAUGGCACGCACUCAUUUUUGUGUAUCCAAUCGCGUCCGAAUAGUAGGUUGUAAUGGCUAUCUCAUCUAUUACAAAGAAUGCAGUUCUUAAGGUUUUAGAACCUACCGUAAUCUCGGCCGUGAGCACCCCUCGAGCUUGUUGACCGCUUUCGGUGAAAUCGGUCAUAAUUGUGUCGGUUGGCUUCAAUUCGUCCUCGCCCUUGCCUAAUUUCUUGAAAAAUGAAGUGGGCAUGACGUUGACCGUUACUCCACCAUCCACCAUAACUCGGCCUACCGGCCGACCUUCGAUCAAGGCCCGAAUGAACAAAGGCCUCACAAACCUAGUCUGAAUGGCCGAAGGUUUUUCGAAAACCACCGCAUCGGCCGGUUUAACAUCUUCUAAUUGCAAUUGGGCCACCGUAAGCCCAACUUCUUCAUCUACCAUCUCCUCAUUGUACUCAACAUACUCUGCCUUAAAAGACUGCGGCAGAGUAUACACCAUGUUGACAUCGGCUGAUCCUUCGUCAGCCGAUUUUCCUUGAAUCCUCUAUUUCUUUUCUUCGGACUCCUUGGCUGUCUCAGCUGAGGAAUCACUCUCCAUCGGUGCCUCCCUCUCUUUUUGAGGCCAUCUCGCUUUUUUGAUGAUUGUCUCGAGGGAGGCUAUUUUUUCUUCUAACUCCUUCCUAGUCAUCUUCUCCUCUGGUUCGACCGUGACCGGCCGUUCUACCUUUGACUUUAGCCAAGGAACGGGUGAUGAACCACCCGCCUCAUGAUUGUUUUUCAUUAGACGAAAAAGGUGUAGUAGCUCGUUAGGUCGUCUCCACACGUUCAGUCUUAUCCCUUUUGCCUCUUCAUAAUGUUGCCUCUCCUCGGCUUGCAUCCUCUACUGCCGACGCUUCUGUGUUUUUGUUAACAUCGGCCCUUACCAUUUGGCCGAUGAUUUGACUUCGACUUCAUGCCACUGAUCUACCGGCACAUUUGUCGAUACCUUCACAGUUCUCAAAUGAUUCUUCAAGAUCUCUCUCCUUUCCCAAGGUCUCGGCCAGGGCUGUAUGCCAAGCUCAUUUACUAAUCUCCGACCGAGGAAUUCUAUAUCUCCUUCGGUCAUUCCUUCGAAUUCUGGUUCUGGUCUCGGCCUGGCUUGAUGCUGCCAGUGCGGCCGAUACCCAGGGAAUCUUUGCUUUGAGCCGAAUGGUUUCUCUGGAUAACUCCAUCGGUUGUUGCAUUUUUCUUUUCUAUUAUAAUAAUCAAGCAGAACUUUCUGCAUUAAUAAAUCCUUCUUGCGUUGAACAGAAUCAACUUCUGGUUCCGUCUCGUUAGAGGCUUCAUCCGAGCCAUCCUCUGAAUUAUCAUCUCCAUCGGGAAUUUCAUCCUAUUCUUCGGGAAAAGCCGCCAACUCUCUCCAUUCGUUGCUUCUUUUCUUGUCGUUGACGAUAACUUCCCAAUCCUUCUUUGUUAUGCAAGAUGCAAAGCCGAAGCGUCUUCUUGACGAAAGCAAUGUUCUCAGCGGUCUUCUUGUCUGCGACCGCCUUUCCUUUGAUAUCCACCAUAUUUACCUGCGAAGGAAAUGUAUUCUUGUCAAUUUCCAUAGCUUUGUUUUCAUGAUCGGCAAAUAUGAGCCGACCUUCCUCUAUUUCUUCUCGGAUCUGUCUUUUUGCAGCCGCUUUUCCUUUUCCUACCAUAUUGACCUGUGAUGGAAAAGGAUUCUUAUCAAUCUCCAUAAUUUUAUUUUUUUGAUCGGCAAAUAUGAGCUGACCUUCAUUUAUUUCUUUUUGGAUUUGCCUCUUAAAGGCAGUACAUUCGUUUGUUUAUGACUCCAGGAAUGGUGCCAUUUACAAUAUCUUCUUUGUUUCAAUUCUUCUACUGGAGGUAUUGUUUGACCUUCCUGUAAUUGAAUCCCUCCGUCUUUUAGAAAUCGAUCAAAAAUUAGAUCGUUCUUUGAGACAUCAAACGAAUAAGUAUAUGCCAACACUCGUGCCUUCGCCUCACUUGAUUUAGCGCGCUUCAACAAAGCACAUUUAUAUGGCUGUCGGUUUUUCACCAUUUCGGCUGUAUAUAUUUCGGCUUCAUCAGCCGAAUUUUCAACCUCUUCAGAUGAAUUUGGCUCCUCAUGAGCCGAAGACUCUUCAAGGAAAGAGAUAUUUUUCUCCUUCCCUUUGUUCCAAUCUUUAUUUCGGCUCCAUCUAGGCUGAUCUUCAUUAUUUCCUUUUCGGAAUUGCUCGUAUUGAGCAACCCGAAUUCCCAAAUCGAAAAUAUUUGGAAAAUAUUUAUCUUCAAAAUGAUCUUUGAUUUUGAAGUGCAAACCAUUAAAUGCCAUUUUGGCAAAUUCCGACUCUGGCAUUCUCACAAAACAACGGCUUCUAGCCGUCUUAAACCUAUUCAAAUACUUCUCAACCGAUUCGCCUGUUCUCUGUUUGAACUGGGCUAAAUCAGCAACCGAUAAUUCCGGUUCCGUUCAAUAAAAUUGUUCAUGAAAUUUACCUUCUAAUUCGCCCCAAUGUCGGACAAAAUUAGCCGGCAAACUUGUAUAUCAAGUGAAAGCCGUUUUGGUCAACGAGGUAUUGAAUAAUCUUAAUUUUAAAUUGGAUCUGCCGCGGCUUCAUGGCACUGAGCUGUAAACCGUGCGACAUGUUCGACCGUAUUUUCGGUCUCAUCGCCGAAAAACUUAUCAAACUUCGGCAUUUUCCAAUUUGCCGAGUAUGGAUGCUCUGCGUCUAUUUUUGCAGGGUAUGGUGAUCGAAAUACGGGCCGCAUUGCCGGCCUUGCGCCUACUCUAAAAGUGUUUCGGAUAGCUUCCUCUGUAACAUACCGAAACCUCGGUAAUUAAAUUUGAACCUUGGUCAAAUUGACCAAAGUGCGAGGUUGGUACACUUCGGAGAGGCCGAAGGCGUCAAAUAAUGCAAAAAUGCAUUACUGGUGUAAGGUACCGGACUUCUAAAACUAUGAAGUUACGGUGUACAUUUAAAUGAUUCCGGUGAGGUUGCGGUGGAAUGUAACAUGCCGGAUUUUAAGUAUAAAGGUGAAAAUAAAUAAAAAUAGUAUGAGAUACUAUUUUAUUGGGUUUGGAGAAGUGAAAUAUAGAUUGGAAAUGACCUGUGCUGAAAUCGAAGCGAAAAUAGAAGAUUUAGAAUUUUCUGUCAGAAACGGGGCAGAUAAAUUAGCAGAAAAUGUACAGUGUCAGAAAAUUAUGAAAACUGGAGGAUAUGUCAGAAUAAUUUUUAUGAGGCUAGGUUUAAAGUUUCAUAACAUU
This 18547-nucleotide long non-coding RNA is filed under the name Ananas comosus (pineapple). RNAcentral's name for it is "long non-coding RNA (ACOM_LNC030645)". The record is from RNAcentral. Lineage: Eukaryota; Viridiplantae; Streptophyta; Magnoliopsida; Poales; Bromeliaceae.